AUAAGCGGAGGAAAAGAAACUAACAAGGAUUCCCCUAGUAGCGGCGAGCGAAGCGGGAAGAGCUCAAAUUUAUAAUCUGGCACCUUCGGUGUCCGAGUUGUAAUCUCUAGAAGUGUUUUCCGCGUUGGACCGCACACAAGUCUGUUGGAAUACAGCGGCAUAGUGGUGAAACCCCCGUAUAUGGUGCGGACGCCCAGCGCUUUGUGAUACACUUUCAAUGAGUCGAGUUGUUUGGGAAUGCAGCUCAAAUUGGGUGGUAAAUUCCAUCUAAAGCUAAAUAUUGGCGAGAGACCGAUAGCGAACAAGUACCGUGAGGGAAAGAUGAAAAGCACUUUGGAAAGAGAGUUAACAGUACGUGAAAUUGUUGGAAGGGAAACGCUUGAAGUCAGACUUGCUUGCCGGAGCUUGCUUCGGUUUGCAGGCCAGCAUCAGUUUUCCGGGGUGGAUAAUAACGGUUUGAAGGUAGCAGUCUCGGCUGUGUUAUAGCUUUCCGUUGGAUACAUCCUGGGGGACUGAGGAACGCAGCGUGCUUUUUGCGAAAGACUCGUCUUUUUCACGCUUAGGAUGCUGGUGGAAUGGCUUUAAACGACC
This 591-nucleotide ribosomal RNA is filed under the name Rhodotorula glutinis. RNAcentral describes it as "eukaryotic LSU rRNA". It matches the Rfam family "Eukaryotic large subunit ribosomal RNA", at positions 46 to 649 of the family's 3401-position model. The record is from RNAcentral. Lineage: Eukaryota; Fungi; Basidiomycota; Microbotryomycetes; Sporidiobolales; Sporidiobolaceae.